CUUUCCGCUUCUCCAUAUGUUGUCCCACAGCACUAUUUCUCUCAAGGACGAAAUCACUUUUUUUCCCUCAAAGUACUCUCCCUCAAAGUAUGCCCUGCGGUCCAAAAAACGUAUGUAACCAAUCAAAUCCUGAAAUUACUGACGUCCGGCUGACUCUGACCUCAGUCAUUCUUAAAGAAGAACGAUUCGAAAGACCGGGGUUUGAGGUCAUCAAGAACACCGCUAAAAUUAUUCCAGAUCGAAGGGAAGUAUUGAUGUCUUUGUUUUAUCCGCUCUACUAAAAGUAAAAUGGCAUUUAGCGUUGUACAUUUGCUAAUGACCGAUGAAGUGGCUGUCGUCCAAGCAAAUGAGUGUCAGAUGAUAAAAAGGGACAUGUAACUGGCCUUCGUAUAAAGAAAGAAGUCACAUGAAAAGAGCAAUUCUGGAACACAGAGAACCAGAUACAUCCUGAGAGAAUUUUUAUAUUGUUAUCCUGGGAGAAUAUUGUGCUUUCAAAGAAAAUCGGGCCACCAGAGAGGUACCUUGCAAUAUUAUUGAACAUAUUAUAAAAGACUGGUUGAAAAGUGUUU
Stegodyphus dumicola is the source of this 569-nucleotide long non-coding RNA. NCBI's taxonomy places the organism in Eukaryota, Metazoa, Arthropoda, Arachnida, Araneae, Eresidae. The record is from RefSeq and is a predicted model, not a curated record.